GUCAGACCUCUAUCCAGGGUAGAGCUUAUAACCUCACUCAGCAGGAUGCUAAAGCCAACUCGGACGUGAUAUAAGGUACGUAUACUAUCUGCAAUCACCUUGCACAUGUUUUGAUUAAUAUUGGUGUUUCACAUUCGUUUGUCUCACCUGCUUUUAUACUAAACGUGAAUGUAUUACUUGAAAGACUUAAUUCUGUAUUAUUUGUGUCUACUCUUGAAAAUAUGACACUACUAUGGAAUGUUAUAUACAAAGCUUGUAUCAUAGACAUAGCAGAUAGAAAAUUAAGCGUG
This 290-nucleotide long non-coding RNA is filed under the name Carica papaya (papaya). RNAcentral describes it as "long non-coding RNA (CPAP_LNC005030)". The record is from RNAcentral. Lineage: Eukaryota; Viridiplantae; Streptophyta; Magnoliopsida; Brassicales; Caricaceae.